This 257-nucleotide long non-coding RNA is filed under the name Gossypium barbadense (sea-island cotton). RNAcentral describes it as "long non-coding RNA (GBAR_LNC005777)". The record is from RNAcentral. Lineage: Eukaryota; Viridiplantae; Streptophyta; Magnoliopsida; Malvales; Malvaceae.
GCAUAGCCGAAUCUUUAGACCAGAAAAGGACCGACUUCUGCUAGGGUUUGAAGGUUAGAUCUACAUCAGAAUCGAAUAAGAACUAAAGUGGAAUCGUUGGCUGAAGGAAUCGGUGGUAAGUUUUCGAAACUAUUUCUUUAUUUCGGGAGUUAAGAAAAGCCGAAACCCUUAUGGGUGGCUAGCGUUUUGGACUAAGGGUUUUGUGCCUCUUUCUGUUUGGUUGUGUAAGCGUUAGUGUGGACAAGGGGGCGUACAGU